This 377-nucleotide long non-coding RNA is filed under the name Vombatus ursinus (common wombat). RNAcentral describes it as "lncRNA (ENSVURG00010011876.1)". The record is from RNAcentral. Lineage: Eukaryota; Metazoa; Chordata; Mammalia; Diprotodontia; Vombatidae.
AGGGAAUUUUGCGUUGGCACUUCAGGUCCUAAGAAGAAGCAAGCUGAAUGGGCCCCCUGCCACCCCUGUAUCAGGGAGCAGCCUCCCUGAGAGGCCUUGGCUCCAAGAGCAUUCUGUUGCAUGCUUUGAGACAAUGACAUUCCUCCCUUACAGUUACCAGGCAGACCAGGUGCCAAUUUGUCUCUUGAGAAGAGUUACCUCCUCCUGUUUCCCAGGCGAGCUGGCCAAGGCUGUCUUGAGGCAAAAUGAAGACCGGGUACCUGAGAUGACUUCUUAGGCAUAGAGCAAUACACAGUCCCAAAGGACAGCUGGGAAUGAAGACAUCUCUAGGGGGAGGGCUCAGAACUCAGUCCUCCUGGCCCCACCUCCACUUGUCC